GACGAACGCUGGCGGCGUGCCUAAUACAUGCAAGUCGAACGAGUGGCGGACGGGUGAGUAACACGUGGGUAACUACCCAUCAGAGGGGGAUAGCCUUUGGAAACGAAGAAUAAUACCCUAUGCGCUCUAAGAUGGACUUGCGUCUUUGUUUAUUGGGUGGGGUAACGGCCCACCAAGACAGCGGUCAGUAGCCGGCUUGAGAGAGUGUACGGCCACAUUGGAACUGAGACACGGCCCAGACUCCUACGGGAGGCAGCAGUGGGGAAUAUUGCACAAUGGGCGCAAGCCUGAUGCAGCCAUGCCGCGUGUAUGAAGAAGGCCUUCGGGUUGUAAAGUACUUUCAGCGAGGAGGCGUUACUCGCAGAAGAAGCACCGGCUAACUCCGUGCCAGCAGCCGCGGUAAUUC
Molecule: ribosomal RNA, 406 nt
Filed under: uncultured bacterium
Lineage: Bacteria
Description: partial 16S ribosomal RNA
Rfam family: Bacterial small subunit ribosomal RNA
Source: RNAcentral